AUCAAUUGAUCUAACGGCUGGAUCAAACCCUAUCCCUCUUUCCAUUUAAACCAAAAAAGAAAAUCCUAAUCCCUCACUUUUGGCCAAAGAAUCAGCCGCUCUUCACUACACUCUCUCUACAACUCUAUAGUUCUCUCUUCCCCCAUAAGCUGAUCGCCGGCACCGACGAGACCACCAUCGGGAAUAGCUCAUCGGAAAACUCCUCCACCCACUGCCGUCGUUGCCAUUUCCUUUCCAGCCGAACCAGCGAAGGAAGACACAUAAUGAAGAGAAUUCCACGCGUUAAAUUUCCUCAACGACACCCGAAACCUUCUUCUGCCAAGUGAUGCGGCAGUGGACCCAUUUCGUCCAUGGAUGCAAGGAGACCACGGGAUGAUAGUGAUCGUAAUGACAAUCGUUGAUUUCGUUGCAAAUUGUCUUGGAUAUUCAAUUAUAAUGAUGUAAUUGUAUGGUUGGAGCGAAUUUUCAAAUAUUGAAGGUUUUGUGUUUACAGUUGAUUUUGGAAUUUGAAGAUACUAGUUAAUGUUGAAAAUUUUAAGUUUGAAGAUGCUAAUGUUGAAAAUUUAAUUUUGAAGUUUAA
Long non-coding RNA from Capsicum annuum, 580 nucleotides. RefSeq lists it as uncharacterized. Lineage: Eukaryota; Viridiplantae; Streptophyta; Magnoliopsida; Solanales; Solanaceae. The transcript is spliced from 2 exons. The record is from RefSeq and is a predicted model, not a curated record.